This 774-nucleotide ribosomal RNA is filed under the name uncultured Neocallimastigales. Its description in RNAcentral is "partial large subunit ribosomal RNA". It matches the Rfam family "Eukaryotic large subunit ribosomal RNA", at positions 26 to 644 of the family's 3401-position model. The record is from RNAcentral. Lineage: Eukaryota; Fungi; Neocallimastigomycota; Neocallimastigomycetes; Neocallimastigales.
CGUCUAUAUACGUAUAGCAUAUCAAUAAGCGGAGGAAAAGAAACUAACAAGGAUUCCCUUAGUAACGGCGAGUGAAGCGGGAAGAGCUCAAAUUUGAAAUCUUCAAGGUUUUACCUUGACGAAUUGUAGUUUAAAGAAGUGUUUUCUGUUGGAGUUUUGGUAAAAGUUCUUUGGAAUAGGACAUCAUAGAGGGUGAGAAUCCCGUAUUUGACCAUUAUUUCCAGCUUUGUGAUACACUUUCAAAGAGUCGGAUUGUUUGGGAAUGCAGUCCAAAAUGGGUGGUAAAUUUCAUCUAAAGCUAAAUAUUGGCGAGAGACCGAUAGCGAACAAGUACCGUGAGGGAAAGAUGAAAAGAACUUUGAAAAGAGAGUUAAACAGUACGUGAAAUUGUCAAAAGGGAAGCGUUUGACACCAGUGUUGUCUUCUCGAAAAUCAAUUAAAAAAGGCCGGAUUUUGUGUUGUAUUGACUUUAUCAGCUUUCUGCACUUUUUUCUUGUCUUUUUUAAUGCACUUUUCGUUUAACAAGUCAACAUCAAUUUCUUUUGUUGUAAAAGGGUCAUUGGAAGGUGGCUUUCUUUUCGGAGAAAGUGUUUAUAGCCUUUGGCCUCUGCAAUCGGAGAGAUUGAGGUCUGCAGCGUAGAUCCUUCGGGGUUAGAUACAUUUGUGCUAAGUUAUAGCCUUUCAUAGACAACUUGUUGACUAUGAUCAGUCAUGUAGCUUACUCGCUUAUGCUAUUUUACCUACGCUUAGGAUGUUGACUGAUAUGUAGUCGUA